Molecule: unclassified non-coding RNA, 196 nt
Filed under: uncultured fungus
Lineage: Eukaryota; Fungi
Description: sequence contains ITS1, 5.8S rRNA gene
Source: RNAcentral
UCACGUAUCCACGUAUCAACCAUUGUGAACUGUUUUUACCUCUGAUAGGAUUUAGUGAAGGGAAAUGGAUUUCGGUCUGUUUCUUUUCUUAUCAGUUGUAAUCACUUUUUAUUAACAAUUUAAACCUUAAUUUUAUAACUUUUGAACUGAUUUAUUUCAUACUCUUCGGAGAUGAAAUUCAUUACGAAACAAAGAA